Molecule: unclassified non-coding RNA, 313 nt
Filed under: Hevea brasiliensis (rubber tree)
Lineage: Eukaryota; Viridiplantae; Streptophyta; Magnoliopsida; Malpighiales; Euphorbiaceae
Source: RNAcentral
AUUUUAUAGAUGAUUUUCAGGUACCUAAAGAUAAACCCAACAAAUCAGACAACUUUUGUUUACAAAACUUUCAAAUUAACCACCAAAUGCUCUUGCCUGAAAGACCACAUAUCGACCCACAACAGAAAAGACAGACAAAAGGGUCUUCAAAUUAAAAUUGUGAAACUUACUCGACCAGUUUCUAUGCAACCAAACAGAACCCAGAAGAGUUCUCCACCCUCAAAAGAGAAAUAAACCAAGCAAAAAAAGAGAAAAGAAUCUGAAUCCUCCUAUAAUGCAUAUACAAUCAUCAUCAUCAGGAGAAGAAGAAGAA